UACCAGCACCCCGAGUGGUCGGGACGUUUAUUGGGCCUAAAGCAUCCGUAGCCGGUUCUACAAGUCUUCCGUUAAAUCCAACUGCUUAACAGGUGGGCUGCGGAAGAUACUAUAGAGCUAGGAGGCGGGAGAGGCAAGCGGUACUCGAUGGGUAGGGGUAAAAUCCGUUGAUCCAUUGAAGACCACCAGUGGCGAAGGCGGGUCUCUGGGCAGUAACUGACGCUGAGGAGCGAAAGCGUGGGGAGCAAACAGG
RNAcentral lists this ribosomal RNA (253 nucleotides) under uncultured bacterium. RNAcentral describes it as "partial 16S ribosomal RNA". It matches the Rfam family "Archaeal small subunit ribosomal RNA", at positions 474 to 727 of the family's 1478-position model. The record is from RNAcentral.